GUGAGAGUGUGCGAGUGAGUGUGUGUGGGUGGGAGUGUGCGUGUGGGUGUGAGUGUGUGAUGUGAGAGUGUGCGUGGCUGUGGGUGUGUGUGAUACGUGAGUGUGUGUGGGUGUGGCUGUGAGUGUGGGUGUGUGAGAGUGUGUGUGAUGUGUGAGUGUGCGUGGGUGGGAGUGUGGGUGAUGGUGUGAGUGUGGAAGGGUGAGUGUGUGAGGGUGUGAAUGAGUGUGAGUGUGAGUCUCAGUGUGUGAUGGUGUGAGUGUGAGUGAGGGUGUGAGUGUGGGUGUGAGGGGGAGUGUAUGCGUGAGGGGGAGUUGAGUGUGAGUGUGGAAGGGUGAGUGUGCGAGGGUGUGAGUGUGAGUCUCAGUGAGUGAUGGUGUGAGUGUGAGCGUGGGUGUGAGAGUGUGUGUGAGGGGGAGUUCAGUGUGAGUGUGCAAGGGUGUGAGUGAGUGUGACUGUGUGUGUGAGUCUCAGUGAGUGAUGGUGUGUGUCAGUGUGAGUGUGUGUGAGUGUGAGUGUGUGUGUGUGAGGGUGUGAGUAUGGGGGUGUGAGUGUGUGUGUGUGCCUGAGGGUGUGAGUGUGUGUGUGUGUGUGAGUGUGAGUCUCAGUGUGUGAUGGUGUGAGUGUGUCAGUGUGUGUGAGUGUGUGAUGGUGUGAAUGUGUGUGAGUGUGAGUGUGUGACUGAGGGUGUAAAUUGUGUGUGACACUGCGAGUGUGUGUGUGUGAGUGUGUGUGAGUGUGAGAGUGUGCUGGUGUGAAUGUGUGUGUGUGUGUGAUGGUGAGUGUGAGUGUGUGCCUGAGGGUGUGAGUGUGUGUGUGUGUGUGUGAGUGUGAUUGAGAGUGUGAUGGUGUGAAUGUGUGUGUGUCAGUGUGAGUGUGGACUGAGGGUGUGUGUGUGUGAGUGUGACACUAAGAGUGUGUGAGUGUGUGUGUGUGAGUGUGACACUGCGAGUGUGCGAGUGUGUGUGUGUGUGAGUCACAGUGUGUGAUGGUGUGAGUGUGUCAGUGUGAGGGUGAGGGUGUGAGUGUGUGUGUGUGUGUCAGUGUGUGAGUGUGGGGGUGUCAGUGUGUGUGAGUGUGUGCCUGAGGGUGUGAGUGUGUGUGAGUGUGUGUGAGUCUCAGUGUGUGAUGGUGUGAAUGUGUGUGAGUGAGUGAGUGUGUGACUGAGGGUGUAAAUGUGUGUGUGUGACACUGCGAGUGUGUGAGUGUGAGUGUGUGUGUGUGUGUGUCGUGUUGGUGUGAGUGUGAGUGGCGCUGUGACGCUGAGUGUGCCCCCGCGUCACGUGGUGUCGUGACCUCUGACCUUUCCCCCCUCCCCUCCCCGCGCUGUCUCCGUGGGGGGGGGCGGAGCUGGGAAAAAAGAGGGGCGUGGCUUCUCCUGGCCACGCCCCCGAUCGCACCGCUUUCCCCGUUGCCACGGCAACAGCCGGCCAGGUGGUGCGUGACGUCACGGCGGCGCCAGCCAAUCGGGGCUCUCCCCGGCGCUGUUGUUGGGGAGGGAUCGAGCGUGGGGCGGGGUCACGUGCGCGGG
This 1529-nucleotide long non-coding RNA is filed under the name Gallus gallus (chicken). RNAcentral describes it as "lncRNA (ENSGALG00010000480.1)". Lineage: Eukaryota; Metazoa; Chordata; Aves; Galliformes; Phasianidae. The record is from RNAcentral.